Lemur catta (Ring-tailed lemur) is the source of this 170-nucleotide small nuclear RNA. RefSeq annotates it as U1 spliceosomal RNA. The transcript has a single exon. NCBI's taxonomy places the organism in Eukaryota, Metazoa, Chordata, Mammalia, Primates, Lemuridae. The record is from RefSeq and is a predicted model, not a curated record.
AUAUUCACCUAGCAGGGGAGAUACCAUGAUCACGAAGGUGGUUUUCCCAGGGCGAGGUUUAUUCAUUGCACUCCGGAUGUGCUGAUCCCUGCAAUUUCCCCAAAUGUGGGAAACUCGGCUGCAUAAUUUGUGGUAGUGGGGCACUGUGUUAAAAAAAAAAAAAAAUCCAG